Molecule: ribosomal RNA, 1351 nt
Filed under: human gut metagenome
Description: bacterial LSU rRNA
Rfam family: Bacterial large subunit ribosomal RNA
Source: RNAcentral
GCUUAGAAGCAGCCACUCAUUAAAAGAGUGCGUAAUAGCUCACUGGUCGAGUGACUCUGCGCCGAAAAUUUAACGGGGCUAAACUAUACACCGAAGCUUGGGAUACAUCUAAUGUAUGGUAGGAGAGCGUUCUGUAUGGGGCGAAGUCGUAGCGAAAGCGGCGGUGGACUAUACAGAAGUGAGAAUGCCGGAAUAAGUAGCGAGAAUUAAGUGAGAAUCUUAAUGGCCGAAAGUCUAAGGUUUUUGGAGGAAGGUUCGUCCGCUCCAAGUAAGUCGGGAGCUAAGGUCAGGCCGAAAGGCGUAGCCGAUGCACAUACGGUUGAUAUUCCGUAACCAUCUGUAAUUUAAGCAAAGGGACACUUCAAAAGGGUGUGACCCGGGCGUUGGUUGACCCGGGCGUAAGGGACCGAAAUUAGAGUAGGGAAGCACACUUAGCUGAAGGCGAGAAAAGCUUUGCGUAUAGAAGCAGAUGCCCGUACCGCAAACCGACACAGGUGGACAGGAAGAGAAUUCUAAGGCCAGCGGGAGAAGGGUAGUUAAGGAACUCGGCAAAUUGACUCCGUAACUUCGGAAUAAGGAGUGCUCGAAAGAGCCGCAGAGAAUAGGCCCAGGCGACUGUUUAGCAAAAACACAGGUCUCUGCCAAAUCGAAAGAUGAAGUAUAGGGGCUGACACCUGCCCGGUGCCGGAAGGUUAAGAGGAGGAGUGAGAGCUCCGAAUUGAAGCCCCGGUAAACGGCGGCCGUAACUAUAACGGUCCUAAGGUAGCGAAAUUCCUUGUCGGGUAAGUUCCGACCCGCACGAAUGGUGUAACGAUCUGGGCACUGUCUCAACUACCCACCCGGCGAAAUUGUAGUACCGGUGAAGAUGCCGGUUACCUGCGGCAAGACGGAAAGACCCCAUGGAGCUUUACUGUAGCCUGAUAUUGGGUUUCGGAAAUCUAUGUACAGGAUAGGCGGGAGACUGGGAAACAUGAGCGUCAGCUUGUGUGGAGUCGAUGUUGGGAUACCGCCCUUAGGUUUCUGGAAUUCUAACCUGCGGCCGUGAAUCCGGUCGGGGGACAUUGUCAGGUGGGCAGUUUGACUGGGGCGGUCGCCUCCGAAAAGGUAACGGAGGCGCUCAAAGGUUAGCUCAGCACGGACGGAAACCGUGCCUCUGAGUGUAAACGCAAAAGCUAGCCUAACUGCGAGGGUGACGGCCCGAGCAGUAACGAAAGUUGGAGUUAGUGAUCCGGCGGUAUGUGAAUGGAAAUGCCGUCGCUCAACGGAUAAAAGCUACCCUGGGGAUAACAGGCUGAUCUCCCCCAAGAGUCCACAUCGACGGGGAGGUUUGGCACCUCGAUGUCGGCUCAUC